Molecule: long non-coding RNA, 949 nt
Organism: Triticum dicoccoides
Lineage: Eukaryota; Viridiplantae; Streptophyta; Magnoliopsida; Poales; Poaceae
Exons: 3
Source: RefSeq, a predicted model, not a curated record
UAAAAUCGGAAAGUAGCACCUUGUUCAUGUAGUAAUUAGAUCAAGACUUUGCUUUCUGGUGGUUGCUUGAUCUCCUCUGACUCCGUCUUGUCUCUUUCUCGAGAAAAAUCAAUCCAGCGCAAGGAUUUUCGUGGAGCCCUGAAGUGAAGAUCGCCGUAGAUCAGAACCGUUGGAGUCGGGGCAGGGGGGCGGCCGCCCCGGGCCCCCGACGGGCCCCCAAGUCUGCCAGUUAAUAUGACUGGGCCUGUGCUAAUACAGUUUGUAAAAUGUUAUAACUGGGCCUACUUUACCUGCACUGGUUACGUUUUGGAGAGAUCCAUCGACCAGGGAUCAAGAGCGGAUUUUGCGGCGUAACGUGGGGGAGUGAUUUCGUGGGUUUACAUCACGCACGAUGACAAUCGCCUGCAGGCUGUUCGCCUUUUUUUAGGCCAAUCGCCUUAAAACCUCAUCGCCAGCAGGCUGCGGCGGCCGGAUGGCAGGGGAUUGCAGACGCGAGACAACCACACCUCACCGUGGCACCGCCGCCGCAGCAGCUCCAGCCUACGCCUCAUCACCGCCGCUGAUGUGAGAGGUGUCCUAUAUCUUAACGAUUUUGUCCUAACUUAUGCCCAGCUUUUUUGCUCCCUAUAACUACGACUCAUCAAGGCUUGAAGGGUCGGUACAGGGUUGAGUUUACUGGGUUGCUUGCCGGACCGCCGAAUCCAGCCGACGGCAGAUUGAGAUCCAGCCUUGUUGUGGACAAGUAACUGAUGAAGAGUACAGUGACUGACCCCCUUCUUCACACCGUCCAAUGAAGGAUCAAACAAUACAUGAUCUAUGGCCAACUCCACCGCGUGAUGAGAACAUCAAUACCAUUGUUACACCCACAACCCCUACUGUUACAUACACUGGACCAAUUACUAGAGCUCGCGCACGCCAAUUAAAUUACCAGGGCCUAGCUUGGAGAAGG